This 223-nucleotide long non-coding RNA is filed under the name Papio anubis (olive baboon). RNAcentral's name for it is "lncRNA (ENSPANG00000048147.1)". The record is from RNAcentral. Lineage: Eukaryota; Metazoa; Chordata; Mammalia; Primates; Cercopithecidae.
CAGCAAUACUAAUGUGUUGGAAAUGGAUGAGGGGAAAACUGUCCCGGAUUUUCAGGUGGUUCAGACAAAUGAGGGAAAGGAGGACAUCUUGUAGCAGCAGUGACCAAAAUGAGGGUGAAAGCGGUCUACCGUAGAAUGGAAUAGCUGUAUAAUUCCUGACCUCAUCUUCCAAACUGCUUUUUGGAAAAAGAGGAGACAUAAAGGCAGAAAGAGAGUAUAUUAG